Molecule: ribosomal RNA, 254 nt
Filed under: uncultured bacterium
Lineage: Bacteria
Description: partial 16S ribosomal RNA
Rfam family: Bacterial small subunit ribosomal RNA
Source: RNAcentral
UACGUAGGGGGCAAGCGUUGUCCGGAUUCAUUGGGCGUAAAGAGCGUGUAGGCGGCCAGACAGGUCCGUUGUGAAAACUCGAGGCUCAACCUCGAGACGUCGAUGGAAACCGUCUGGCUAGAGUCCGGAAGAGGAGAGUGGAAUUCCUGGUGUAGCGGUGAAAUGACGCAGAUAUCAGGAAGAACACCCGUGGCGAAGGCGGCUCUCUGGGACGGUACUGACGCUGAGACGCGAAAGCGUGGGGAGCGAACAGG